RNAcentral lists this ribosomal RNA (497 nucleotides) under uncultured bacterium. RNAcentral's name for it is "partial 16S ribosomal RNA". It matches the Rfam family "Bacterial small subunit ribosomal RNA", at positions 28 to 507 of the family's 1533-position model. The record is from RNAcentral.
GACGAACGCUGGCGGCGUGCCUAAUACAUGCAAGUUGAGCGCUGAAGGUUGGUACUUGUACCAACUGGAUGAGCAGCGAACGGGUGAGUAACGCGUGGGGAAUCUGCCUUUGAGCGGGGGACAACAUUUGGAAACGAAUGCUAAUACCGCAUAAAAACUUUAACCACAGGUUUUAGGUUUGAAAAAGGCAAUCGCAUACCUCAAAGAUAUCCCGGCGUUGGAUUAGCUAGUUGGUGAGGUAAAGGCUCACCAAGGCGAUGAUACAUAGCCGACCUGAGAGGGUGAUCGGCCACAUUGGGACUGAGACACGGCCCAAACUCCUACGGGAGGCAGCAGUAGGGAAUCUUCGGCAAUGGACGAAAGUCUGACCGAGCAACGCCGCGUGAGUGAAGAAGGUUUUCGGAUCGUAAAACUCUGUUGGUAGAGAAGAACGGUGGUGAGAGUGGAAAGCUCAUCAAGUGACGGUAACUACCCAGAAAGGGACGGCUAACUACGUG